Molecule: ribosomal RNA, 911 nt
Filed under: Aspergillus gracilis
Lineage: Eukaryota; Fungi; Ascomycota; Eurotiomycetes; Eurotiales; Aspergillaceae
Description: LSU rRNA
Rfam family: Eukaryotic large subunit ribosomal RNA
Source: RNAcentral
GCAUAUCAAUAAGCGGAGGAAAAGAAACCAACCGGGAUUGCCUCAGUAACGGCGAGUGAAGCGGCAAAAGCUCAAAUUUGAAAUCUGGCCCCUCCGGGGUCCGAGUUGUAAUUUGUAGAGGAUGCUUCGGGUGCGGCCCCCGUCUAAGUGCUCUGGAAUGGGCCAUCGGAGAGGGUGAGAAUCCCGUCUGGGGCGGGGUGUCCGCGUCCGUGUGAAGCUCCUUCGACGAGUCGAGUUGUUUGGGAAUGCAGCUCUAAAUGGGUGGUAAAUUUCAUCUAAAGCUAAAUAUUGGCCGGAGACCGAUAGCGCACAAGUAGAGUGAUCGAAAGAUGAAAAGCACUUUGAAAAGAGAGUUAAAAAGCACGUGAAAUUGUUGAAAGGGAAGCACUUGCGACCAGACUCGCCCACGGGGUUCAGCCGGCUUUCGGGCCGGUGUACUUCCCCGGGGGCGGGCCAGCGUCGGUUUGGGCGGCCGGUUAAAGGCCCCUGGAAUGUAACACCUCUCGGGGUGUCUUAUAGCCAGGGGUGCCAUGCGGCCAGCCCGGACCGAGGAACGCGCUUCGGCACGGACGCUGGCAUAAUGGUCGUAAAUGACCCGUCUUGAAACACGGACCAAGGAGUCUAACAUCUACGCGAGUGUUCGGGUGGCAAACCCGUACGCGGAGUGAAAGCGAACGGAGGUGGGAGCCUCUUGAGGGGCGCACCAUCGACCGAUCCUGAUGUCUUCGGAUGGAUUUGAGUAUGAGCGUAGCUGUGGGGACCCGAAAGAUGGUGAACUAUGCCUGAAUAGGGUGAAGCCAGAGGAAACUCUGGUGGAGGCUCGCAGCGGUUCUGACGUGCAAAUCGAUCGUCAAAUUUGGGUAUAGGGGCGAAAGACUAAUCGAACCAUCUGGUAGCUGGUUCCUGCCGAG